RNAcentral lists this ribosomal RNA (470 nucleotides) under uncultured Alphaproteobacteria bacterium. RNAcentral's name for it is "bacterial SSU rRNA". It matches the Rfam family "Bacterial small subunit ribosomal RNA", at positions 9 to 521 of the family's 1533-position model. Lineage: Bacteria; Pseudomonadati; Pseudomonadota; Alphaproteobacteria. The record is from RNAcentral.
GAGUUUGAUCGUGGCUCAGAGCGAACGCUGGCGGCAGGCUUAACACAUGCAAGUCGAACGCCCGUAGCAAUACGGGAGUGGCAGACGGGAGAGUAACACGUGGGAACGUGCCCUUCAGUUCGGAACAACCCAGGGAAACUUGGGCGUAAUACCGGAUACGUCCGAAAGGAGAAAGCUUUAUCGCUGAAGGAUCGGCCCGCGUACUGAUUAGCUAGUUGGUGAGGUAACGGCUCACCAAGGCGACGAUCAGUAGCUGGUCUGAGAGGAUGAUCAGCCUCACUGGGACUGAGACACGGCCCAGACUCCUACGGGAGGCAGCAGUGGGGAAUCUUGGACAAUGGGCGCAAGCCUGAUCCAGCCAUGCCGCGUGGGUGAGUGAAGGCCCUAGGGUUGUAAAGCCCUUUCGGCGGGAAGAUAAUGACGGUACCCGCAGAAGAAGCCCCGGCUAACUUCGUGCCAGCCGCCGCCGU